UUGGAGGGCAAGUCUGGUGCCAGCAGCCGCGGUAAUUCCAGCUCCAAUAGCGUAUAUUAAAGUUGUUGCAGUUAAAAAGCUCGUAGUUGAAUUUCGGGAUCAAUGUUUCGGUCAUGCCGUUGGUAUGUACUGAUAUUAUUGAUUUCUCACCUUCUAAAGAACCGUAAUGCCAUUAAUUUGGUGUCACGGGGAAUUAGGACUGUUACCUUGAAAAAAUUAGAGUGUUUAAAGCAGGCUCACGCUUGAAUACAUUAGCAUGGAAUAAUGAAAUAGGACAUCCGAUUCUAUUUUGUUGGUUUCUAGGAUCGAUGUAAUGAUUAAUAGGGAUAGUUGGGGGCAUUAGUAUUCAAUUGUCAGAGGUGAAAUUCUUGGAUUUAUUGAAGACUAACUACUGCGAAAGCAUUUGCCAAGGAUGUUUUCAUUAACUAGAACGAAGUAAGGGUAGGUACGUAGAACGACGUAUACGAGUAACGUACCGGUACGGUUACGUUAACCUUAACCUAAACUUAAAACUUAGUCCGGACCGUAACGGGUAAGGUACGGUACGGUAGUAGUAGUUUAAGUUUUUUUAAAUUUUUAAGUACGUACUACUUACGG
Molecule: ribosomal RNA, 597 nt
Filed under: uncultured Glomeraceae
Lineage: Eukaryota; Fungi; Glomeromycota; Glomeromycetes; Glomerales; Glomeraceae
Description: bacterial SSU rRNA
Rfam family: Eukaryotic small subunit ribosomal RNA
Source: RNAcentral